CGCGGUAAUUCCAGCUCCAAUAGCGUAUAUUAAAGUUGUUGCAGUUAAAAAGCUCGUAGUUGGAUUUCGGAAGGUCCUUAGCAGUCCGCCCCUUCGGGGAGCGGGCUGCUGGCCUCCUAUGUUCCUAACGGUCCUCAUCCGCGAGGGUGGGGAAUCAACCGCUAGGAUCGUUUACUUUGAGGAAAUUAGAGUGUUCAAAGCAGGCGUAACUCGCCUCCGAAUACGUUAGCAUGGGAUAAUGGAAUACGACUUCGGUCUUGUUUCGUUGGUUUCGCUUGGCUGAAGUAAUGAUUGAUAGGGACAGUUGGGGGCAUUAGUAUUUAGUUGUCAGAGGUGAAAUUCUAGGAUUUACUAAAGACUGACCAAUGCGAAAGCAUUUGCCAAGGAUGUUUUCAUUAAUCAAGAACGAAAGUAGGGGGAUCGAAGACGAUCAGAUACCGUCGUAGUCUCUACCGUAAACUAUGCCGACCAGGGAUCCGGAGAGUUUGCAUGGAUGACUCCCCGGGCACCUUGUGAGAAAUCAUAAGUGUUUGGGUUUUGGGGGGAGUAUGGUCGCAAGGCUGAAACUUAAAGGAAUUGACGGAAGGGCACCACCAGGAGUGGAACCUGCGGCUUAAUUUGACUCAACACGGGGAAACUUACGAGGUCAGGACACUGUGAGGAUUGACAGAUUGAAAGCUCUUUCUUGAUUCAGUGGGUGGUGGUGCAUGGCCGUUCUUAGUUGGUGGAGUGAUUUGUCUGG
This 742-nucleotide ribosomal RNA is filed under the name Vermamoeba vermiformis. Its description in RNAcentral is "SSU rRNA". It matches the Rfam family "Eukaryotic small subunit ribosomal RNA", at positions 575 to 1318 of the family's 1831-position model. Lineage: Eukaryota; Tubulinea; Echinamoebida; Vermamoebidae. The record is from RNAcentral.